GGUGCUUCAAAGCACCGCCAAAAGAUGAGUCCGCCCCCCAUUAGCUAGUUGGUGAGAUAAUAGCCCACCAAGGCUUCGAUGGGUAGCCGAGCUGAGAGGUUGAUCGGCCACACUGGAACUGAGAUACGGUCCAGACACCUACGGGUGGCAGCAGUAGGGAAUAUUGGACAAUGGGCGCAAGCCUGAUCCAGCCAUGCCGCGUGAGUGAUGAAGGCCUUCGGGUCGUAAAACUCUUUUCUGAGGGAAGAACAUCUGGGAUAGGAAAUGAUCUCAGCUUGACGGUACCUCAGGAAUAAGCAACGGCUAACUCCGUGCCAGCAGCCGCGGUAAUACGGAGGUUGCAAGCGUUGUUCGGAAUUACUGGGCGUAAAGGGAGCGCAGGCGGUUUGGUCAGUCUGAAGUGGAAUCCCGGGGCUUAACCUCGGAAGUGCUUUGGAUACUGCCAGACUUGAGUACGUGAGAGGAGAUCGGAAUUCAGGGUGUAGCGGUGAAAUGCGUAGAUAUCCUGAGGAACACCGGUGGCGAAAGCGGAUCUCUGGCACGAAACUGACGCUGAGGCUCGAAAGCAUGGGGAGCGAACAGGAUUAGAUACCCUGGUAGUCCAUGCCGUAAACGUUGUACACUAGGUGUAGGAGGUAUCGACCCCUUCUGUGCCGCAGCUAACGCAUUAAGUGUACCGCCUGGGGAGUACGGCCGCAAGGCUGAAACUCAAAGGAAUUGACGGGGGCCCGCACAAGCGGUGGAGCAUGUGGUUUAAUUCGAGGCAACGCGAAGAACCUUACCCAGACUUGACAUCCCGAGACAGCCUAUGAAAGUAGGUCUCCCCGCAAGGGGCUCGGAGACAGGUGUUGCAUGGCUGUCGUCAGCUCGUGUCGUGAGAUGUUGGGUUAAGUCCCGCAACGAGCGCAACCCUUGUUCACAGUUACCAUCAGCUCGGCUGGGAACUCUGUGAAGACUGCCGGUGAUAAGCCGGAGGAAGGUGGGGACGACGUCAAGUCAUCACGGCCCUUACGUCUGGGGCUACACACGUGCUACAAUGGCCGGUACAGUGGGUCGCAAUACCGCGAGGUGGAGCUAAUCCCAAAAAGCCGGUCUCAGUUCGGAUUGGAGUCUGCAACUCGACUCCAUGAAGUCGGAAUCGCUAGUAAUCGCGCAUCAGCUACGGCGCGGUGAAUACGUUCCCGGGCCUUGUACACACCGCCCGUCACAUGACCCGAGUCGGGUGCACCC
RNAcentral lists this ribosomal RNA (1230 nucleotides) under metagenome. RNAcentral's name for it is "bacterial SSU rRNA". It matches the Rfam family "Bacterial small subunit ribosomal RNA", at positions 202 to 1422 of the family's 1533-position model. The record is from RNAcentral.